RNAcentral lists this ribosomal RNA (496 nucleotides) under uncultured bacterium. Its description in RNAcentral is "partial 16S ribosomal RNA". It matches the Rfam family "Bacterial small subunit ribosomal RNA", at positions 29 to 507 of the family's 1533-position model. The record is from RNAcentral.
ACGAACGCUGGCGGCGUGCCUAAUACAUGCAAGUUGAGCGCUGAAGGUUGGUACUUGUACCAACUGGAUGAGCAGCGAACGGGUGAGUAACGCGUGGGGAAUCUGCCUUUGAGCGGGGGACAACAUUUGGAAACGAAUGCUAAUACCGCAUAAAAACUUUAAACACAAGUUUUAAGUUUGAAAGAUGCAAUUGCAUCACUCAAAGAUGAUCCCGCGUUGUAUUAGCUAGUUGGUGAGGUAAAGGCUCACCAAGGCGAUGAUACAUAGCCGACCUGAGAGGGUGAUCGGCCACAUUGGGACUGAGACACGGCCCAAACUCCUACGGGAGGCAGCAGUAGGGAAUCUUCGGCAAUGGACGAAAGUCUGACCGAGCAACGCCGCGUGAGUGAAGAAGGUUUUCGGAUCGUAAAACUCUGUUGGUAGAGAAGAACGUUGGUGAGAGUGGAAAGCUCAUCAAGUGACGGUAACUACCCAGAAGGGGACGGCUAACUACGUG